UAGGGAAUCCUCCACAAUGGACGCAAGUCUGAUGGAGCAACGGCCGCGUGAGUGAAGAAGGCUUUCGGGUCGUAAAACUCUGUUAUUGAAGAAGAACGUGUGUGACAGUAACUGGUCAUGCAGUGACGGUAUUCAAUCAGAAAGUCACGGCCAACUACGUGCCAGCAGCCGCGGUAAUACGUAGGUGGCAAGCGUUGUCCGGAUUUAUUGGGCGUAAAGCGAGUGCAGGCGGUCUUUUAAGUCUGAUGUGAAAAGCCUUCGGCUUAACCGAGGAAGGGCAUCGGAAACUGGGAGACUUGAGUGCAGAAGAGGAGAGUGGAACUCCAUGUGUAGCGGUGAAAUGCGUAGAUAUAUGGAAGAACACCAGUGGCGAAGGCGGCUCUCUGGUCUGUAACUGACGCUGAGGCUCGAAAGCGUGGGUAGCAAA
This 427-nucleotide ribosomal RNA is filed under the name uncultured bacterium. RNAcentral describes it as "partial 16S ribosomal RNA". It matches the Rfam family "Bacterial small subunit ribosomal RNA", at positions 355 to 772 of the family's 1533-position model. The record is from RNAcentral.